AGAAAACCCAGACGGUCUUUCAAAAGACAUUUCAAAUACCUAAAAAUUAUAAUCUGGAAAAAUCCCACUCUAAAUCCCCACCAUUCCUUUAAAAUUCAAACUUUAAACGGGCAUCCUUCGCUGGUCGCGGAACUUGUCACGUUGGCAACCUUCCUGGCAACAAACAACGGGGACCUUCAAUGUGCGGAAGGCUUUUAGCGUGAUAAAUUCGCUUAAAUUCAGUGAAAAGUGUCAAAAAACAAGUGUUUUAGUGUGUGAUUGUGGCUUUUUCACGGCGAUAGCAGUUCAGGCACACUUGGAAACCCGUAUGUACUUUUCUGUAAGCUGAUGGUCCACUUAUCAUUGUCUUCACUGAAAGUACAGUCGGGAAGAGUUACUUGAUGUUGCGAUGUCCGAAGCAAACUAAGAUACUGCAACCUCAAAGUCAACAGCGCUGAAAGGUAGCCAACCUCACUGAUGAAGCAAUUUAAAUAUCAGUAGCAAAGCGGGAAAAGUUCGGUUAGUAUCCAUGUAGGUACAUCUAGCCGCAACCUCAGAGCUCAAAUUCUACUUUUCAAAGUAAACGUUUGGUUUUGAGUACGGAGACCUACGAACUUGCCUUUAUCAAGACUCGAAUAUCGUUAUUCAUGUCCAACAAUCUUCUAAGGUCCGUAUACCAUACAUGGCAAAACUUUAAUCAACUAGUUUUGUCGUUC
Molecule: long non-coding RNA, 695 nt
Filed under: Bemisia tabaci
Lineage: Eukaryota; Metazoa; Arthropoda; Insecta; Hemiptera; Aleyrodidae
Description: lncRNA ENSSSA1UGG005684
Source: RNAcentral